GACGAACGCUGGCGGCGUGCUUAACACAUGCAAGUCGAACGGUGAAGCGCCUUCCUUUUUGGUGGGUGUGGAUGAGUGGCGAACGGGUGAGUAACACGUGAGUAACCUGCCCCCUUCUUCUGGAUAACCGCAUGAAAGUGUGGCUAAUACGGGAUAUUCUGGGUCUGUCGCAUGAUGGGUCUGGGAAAGAUAUUGUUUCGGUGGGGGAUGGGCUCGCGGCCUAUCAGCUUGUUGGUGGGGUGAUGGCCUACCAAGGCGGUGACGGGUAGCCGGCCUGAGAGGGUGGACGGUCACACUGGGACUGAGACACGGCCCAGACUCCUACGGGAGGCAGCAGUGGGGAAUACUGCACAAUGGGCGCAAGCCUGAUGCAGCGACGCCGCGCGAGGGAUGGAGGCCUUCGGGUUGUGAACCUCUUUCGCCAGUGAAGCAGGCCUGCCUCGUUUGUGGGUGGGUUGACGGUAGCUGGAUAAGAAGCGCCGGCUAACUACGUG
Molecule: ribosomal RNA, 494 nt
Filed under: uncultured bacterium
Lineage: Bacteria
Description: partial 16S ribosomal RNA
Rfam family: Bacterial small subunit ribosomal RNA
Source: RNAcentral